RNAcentral lists this microRNA (24 nucleotides) under Mus musculus (house mouse). RNAcentral's name for it is "mmu-miR-6955-5p". Lineage: Eukaryota; Metazoa; Chordata; Mammalia; Rodentia; Muridae. The record is from miRBase by way of RNAcentral.
AGGGCCUCAGGACUCAGGAGGUGA